AUUGAACGCUGGCGGCAUGCUUUACACAUGCAAGUCGAACGGUAACAGGCCUUCGGGUGCUGACGAGUGGCGAACGGGUGAGUAAUGCAUCGGAACGUGCCCAGCGGUGGGGGAUAACGCAGCGAAAGCUGUGCUAAUACCGCAUGUGAUCUGAGGAUGAAAGCGGGGGACCAGGCAGCAAUGUUUGGCCUCGCGCCUUUGGAGCGGCCGAUGUCAGAUUAGGUGGUUGGUGGGGUAAAGGCCUACCAAGCCGACGAUCUGUAGCUGGUCUGAGAGGACGGCCGGCCACACUGGGACUGAGACACGGCCCAGACUCCUACGGGAGGCAGCAGUGGGGAAUUUUGGACAAUGGGCGCAAGCCUGAUCCAGCAAGGCCGCGUGCGAGAAGAAGGCCUUCGGGUUGUAAACCGCUUUUGUACGGAACGAAAAGGCUCUGGCUAAUACCUGGGGCUGAUGACGGUACCGGAAGAAUAAGCACCGGCUAACUACGUG
RNAcentral lists this ribosomal RNA (492 nucleotides) under uncultured bacterium. RNAcentral describes it as "partial 16S ribosomal RNA". It matches the Rfam family "Bacterial small subunit ribosomal RNA", at positions 29 to 507 of the family's 1533-position model. The record is from RNAcentral.